Molecule: long non-coding RNA, 1291 nt
Organism: Centrocercus urophasianus (Greater sage-grouse)
Lineage: Eukaryota; Metazoa; Chordata; Aves; Galliformes; Phasianidae
Exons: 4
Source: RefSeq, a predicted model, not a curated record
AGAGCCUGUAUGUAACAUGCCAGUGCUUGCAGGACAUGUAUCUACAUGGACUACUAAGAUCCCACAGACUUGUGUCAUGGUGAAGGAGGAGGACAACUCAUCCUUUCGUAGAAAGAACACAAGCAUUGCUGUGAGGUUUUAAUAUCCCACCAUCAGCUACUGGCUUUGUAACCAUUUCAUCACUUUCAUGUCCUUCUGAAAAAGAGAAGUAGUCAUUCUCCAGUGCAAUUAUCUCUGCUUUAAGCAGUCACGAUAAGAGGCCAUGCUAAUUUAAAUCUGUCUUUGGAGGACUUUUUUCAUAAUUGCCCUUCAAAUUCUCUUCUCCAUCCUGCCAAGGUGAUACAUAAGCAACUGCAUAGUGUUUUUUUAUGAACUGUGUCAACAAACUGCAGAGGGAAGCAGGAACAAAUCUAAAAUGGAAAUUGAAGAUAAAAUGAGAAUUAAUUUGCUAAAAGGAAUAUUGGAAUCUGGAUAAAUGCAUUGUCUCAGUCUCUCUUGCUACUUCUAUCUCAAGAUGAAUGAAGAAAAAGAUCUUGUGAAGAAAGAAAAUCUACUGGAGACUAUUUUGUUACUGUUUUCAGGUUUUAGAAUACAUUUGCUUAUUUUUCUUGGAUAUUGAUAUAUGUGAGACGGUGUUUCACAAAGUUCUCUGAUUAGUAAAAAUAACUCAAUAUAGUCAUUACUCUCUGGCGACUGUCUGGCUGUUGCAUAUCCGACCUGAUUGAAUGCCAAGUAUAAUACUCCACUGCUCUCCCUUUCCACUGUCCCCAAAUGUUUAAUAAUUUAAACUACUGACAAUUUAAUUCAGGUUGCUAAUGAAUGAGAAGCUAGAUUUUCAAAUAGCCACAAGGAAAACUCAAUGACUUGAAACCAAUACCAAAUACAGAAAAAAAUCUUGCCUCCUUAAAACAAUUUCAAGAACGAUUUAGUAAAGGAUUUCUUAGGGAAAAUACUUUAAUACAUACUUUAUUUUCCAUUAAAAUUAGCUUAUAUCAUUUCCGUAAGGUAAACUUUUUAAAAAGUAGAAGAAAAACCAUACUGUUCCUUUUCCUGGGGAAUAGCUAUUGUUUGCAAAUGACCCUUCUUCGUCCUCUACACAUUCUUCAAAAUUUAGAACCUCAAAGACAAAAUAUCUUUUUAAUCUUUGUGAAGGAAAUAUCCUGUGUCACCUAUCGUAAGACUAAUGUCUGCUUUAAGGCAAAAAUUUAUUCUCUAUUAAAAUUGUUUUUUGGCCAAAUUUGAAGUUAGAUUCUACAUUAAAUAUAAAUUUCUAUUACUUUUCAGAAGAACU